CGGACGGGUGAGUAAUACUUAGGAAUCUGCCCAAUAGUGGGGGACAACAUUCGGAAACGGAUGCUAAUACCGCAUACGCACUACGGUGGAAAGUGGGGGACCUUCGGGCCUCACGCUAUUGGAUGAGCCUAAGUCGGAUUAGCUUGUUGGUGAGGUAAAAGCUCACCAAGGCGACGAUCCGUAGCUGGUCUGAGAGGACGAUCAGCCACACUGGGACUGAGACACGGCCCAG
This 232-nucleotide ribosomal RNA is filed under the name uncultured bacterium. RNAcentral's name for it is "partial 16S ribosomal RNA". It matches the Rfam family "Bacterial small subunit ribosomal RNA", at positions 99 to 334 of the family's 1533-position model. The record is from RNAcentral.